GUUUCCAAGGGAACGGGUGGCAACGGUUGCCAUGCCGCUGGGCUAAAACAGGAAGUGGCCACGGCUCUGAGGGCGCUGAGAGACAAACUGCUGGCUGAACAGAAGGAGAAGGAGGUGAGAGGACGGAAAGAAUGAAACUAUGAGACGUGUCGAAGACUUAAAGACAAAGACAAGAAAGAAAUGUAAUCAACAAAGAGUGUGUGUGUGUGUGUGUGUGUGUGUGUGUGUGUGUGUGUGUGUGCAUGUGUGUGUUGCAGCAUCUGGCCGGCAGCAGCAGUGUUUCCAAGCGGAAACAUCUGGAGCGCUGGGAGCUGCAGGAGUGUUCAGAGCAGCAGCUCAGCAGCUUGAGAGCAUCACUACAACAGGACGUACACGCUCUGAGCUCCGAGCUGGUGGCCCACCUGUUGGUACGAGACCAGCUGAGGACGAAGCAGGACGCCAUGCUGCUGGACGUGCAGGACCUGACCUAACAUCAGGACCACACACACCACCAGAACAUCCGUCCACUCUGGGACCAGGACGGGCUGCUCGUCCACGUCAGACCAGGAGACUUCAACAAAAUGUAAGCAGACCUGCUAAUUAAUGGAAACUGACAAAUCACCAGCAGUCUGGACAACAAAGAGGGAAACACGACUCAGAUUCAAAGGAAAUCACCUAAAAAAACACAAAAGUCAUAAUGACAAUUCUGUUCUGAGAUCAACGACAAAUAACCAACGUGAAACCAACAGGAGUUUGAUCACAGACUGACGACACUUCAAGGAAACACCUGUUAAGUUGUCGGUGUGAGUAGAAACCUGAAACUGACAGGAAGUCAGUGUUAAAACCAACAGAGGAACAAAGAUUCAGUUGGAUUGUUUGGAAGCUGAAUCCAAACGUCUACAAUCAGCUUCGGUUGGAAGAGAUAAGACAAGAAGGCAGAAGAGGGCUGGAUGCUUCCAACAUCUGACAGAACGUACGACGCUCAGAACAUCACAGAACAAUCAGUCCAGUUUCUAUAGACGGGUCGGGCCGACACACAUCAACACACACCGACACACAGCGACACACACAAACACACACCGACACACACCGACACACAUCAACACACACCAACACACACCAACACACAUCAACACACACCAACACACACCAACACACACCAACACACACCAACACACAUCAACACACACCAACACACACCAACACACACCAACACACACCAACACACACCAACACACAUCAACACACAUCAACACACAUCAACACACAUCAACACACAUCAACACACACCAACACACACCAACACACAUCAACACACAUCAACACACACCAACACACACCAACACACAUCAACACACACCAACACACACCAACACACAUCAACACACAUCAACACACAUCAACACACACCAACACACAUCAACACACACCAACACACACCAACACACAUCAACACACACCAACACACACCAACACACAUCAACACACACCAACACACAUCAACACACACCAACACACACCAACACACACCAAUCAGACUUCAUGUGAAACUGAAUCUGAUGACAGGUGCAGCUAUUAUCAAUCAAAUCUGACAAAACUUUACAGCCUCCAGGAUCAUUUUCACACUGGCUGCACUCGUUAAGGUGCGCCAGCGUAUAAUUGAGGAGGAUCCAAUAAAUCAAAUGCAAAUAAAUGCUUAAUUUUAUCAUUUAACAUGAUAGAAGACACAUUUGUGAAUCAGGUUUUCAGGGGUUUUAAGAUGCACUCGAGAAAUGAUCGAUGAUGAAAUCUUCAGGCACGUAGAAAAAGGAGCGAAGUGGACAUAAUAAUAAAAACCUCUCAUAAGCUACAAUUUUAUUAAACAAUGUAGACGCGUCUUCACGAGUGUAACCGUUUGAGACAGGACACGUAGACGCUGUGAAGUGUUUGGUCUCUGAGUGAUUCUCCUCAGGCAGGACGAACAGCAGCAGGUGAACUCGGUGAACUAAAACCAGUCGAGCUCGUUGAGCGACUGUUUGGAGGAAAGUAGCUGAUUGUAUUUUAGAGAAAAGUCCACGUUGUGUUGAACUCUAACUUUAAUUUCCCUCCAGCUCAGAAUGUUUCAGACAGAAGUGAGACAUGGAAGACGUUCUGUUUGUGGGGCCGCUGGUGUAAAUCUACAUUUAUAUGCAAACGAGGGAUUCUAACUUAUCUUAUUUAAGUUUUAUUGUGUUUACUUACUCGCUUGUUAUAAUAACGAGGGAACAUUACACUCAUACAGCAUGUGUAGCAAGACGAGCUCAACAUAACUGAUGUAUUGAUGUUUUUGUUGUUGUAUUUUUAUUUUUCUGAGAAACAAAAAGAGGAAUUUCGUCAAAAUGUGCAGCAGAUAAAAGAUAAAAGAUAUACACAGAUUUAUUUUGAAUGUUGUUAUUCAGUAUUAUUGAACCUUAGAUUAAAACAAGAGAAAUCAGGAGCUGCAACAAUGAUAUUAAUUAACCACCAAUUAUUUUAAUAAUGAAUGUUUUGGUUUGAGAAAAUUCUGAAAAUUGUGAAUAUUUUCUGGUUUCCUUUUGUUGUGGACAAAACAAGACGUGAGGAUGAAACACUGAUCGACUGUUUAAACCAUUUUCUGACUAAUCAAUUCUGACUAAUGGAGAAAAUAAUCAAUUAAUUGACAAUAAAAAGUAUAAUUAGCUGCAGGUCUUAAUAGAACUAUAAAAAAUGGGAAAAAUAGGAACACGACCGUCCUUCUGUUUUCAAAGUGUAGAAGAAGUCACAGUCGGUAAAACGUGUUGUUACGUUGAAUUUUCGUUUUGGUGGCAUCGCUCUUUAACUGAUGCUCAACUCUUCAGGUACCGUCAGAGAAACAACAGUGUUUACUCGUAAGAAAUGCAAACAGAAUAAUGCACAGAAUAUAUUGAACAGUCGAGUUUAUGUGAUGAUGCGCCUGAAAUAUCGCUGACCUGUUUGAUUUCUGUCGUCCAUUAACUUCAUGUUUAUGUCGAACAGAAGAGGAUCAGAGCGACCGUUAGAAAACUAAGUUUUGAGUGUUUUUUCCUCAGAAUUUUACUUUAAACUCGGAAUUUUAACUUUAAACUUUGGAAUUCUGAACUUUACACUCAGAAUUCUGAUUGUAAACUUUGGGAUUCUGACUUUGAACUUCAGAAUUCUGACUUUAAACUUGGAAUUCUGUUUGUAAACUUCAGAAUUCUGACUUAAGUUAAAUUGUCAGAACUCAAUUAUCAUUAUUAUUGUUGUUUUUUACAGUGGCCCUAAUCCUCUCUGUGAUGGCACCUAAACGUCACACUUUCUUUAGUAACUUCCUGAAUGUUUGUAAGGAUGGAAAGUUUUGUUCUGACACUAUUUGUGGAGAUUUAGAUGAUUUAAAAUGUGUCUUUUUUUAAACCACCACUAGCGAUGUCCUCCAGUGCCUUACAAAUAAAUUAUAUUUUGAUACUGAUUAAUUCUUUUUUCUCUCAUAUUGAUCUGUGAUAAGGAGCUGAAUUUCAUAUUCAUGGAAGGGAAUGUACUGUAAUGGAAAUGUUUGUUACUUUUUUAUUCAUAUACUUAAAGUCACACUGAAAUGUUGUUUUACGGAGAGUUUAAUGUGUUUUGUUUUGAAACAUGUUUGUGGAGGACGUAACACAGCGAGGGAGAGUUAAAGUAUAGUAAGAGUAAUAUUUUAAUCUUUUAAUGGUCCAAAACAAACUGAACAGAUGUUUUUUCAUUUCAAUGUGACUUCAAGUAUUUUGAGAUGUAUUUUAAAAUGUAAAUAAAAUUAAUUGCAAAUGUAUUUUUAAAUGUAAACAUUAAUUCUAAAAUAUAUUUUGAUGACUUGCUACAGUUUUAUUUUGCGUCCACUUUAUUGCUUCAGUGUUUUAUGUUCUCAGUAUAUUCAUUACAGUAUUUGAGUAAAAGUUUUCUGUUAUCGUCCUUCCCCACAGUUUUUUUAAGUUUUUCUAAAAUUGUAUGGCUUGAUUGAUAACUGCGUAUUGUUCUCAGUCAGAACUUCAGCUUCAGAUACAUUUUUAAAGUUAAAAGUGUUUGAAAGAAUGGAUUGGAAGUGUUUAUGUGUGUUUAGCAUCAGCAGACGUCCAGAAAAGGGCUUGAAAUGAAAAGCGGCCAUCUUGAAAAGCCAGUUUUCUUUAUACAUCUGAGGUUAGCUAGCAUGUGUUUAGCACAAGUCAGGCUUGCUUGCUUACAGAGUAUAUAACAGGUGGUAUUGAGACCAUAUUAGAUUAGAGUUUAUUGUCAUUAUACAAUAUACAAAAAAUUAAAAGGUCCUCACAUUAAGGUGCACAAGAAUACAGACAAGAACAACAAAGACAACACUGCACGGUUCAAAGUCAUAAAGCUCAGCAGUGUGUGCUGAUAUUGUAAAAUAUUUGCCAUAAUUUAAAAUGUAUUUGCCACCUUGCCAAACACAUUAACACAUGUGAAGCAGUAUGUGUGCUACACUUCUAAACAUAAACGAAUAUUGUAAGUUUGCUAGCUAUGUUAGCAGGCUACAAGACGACAAGUAACAAGUGGUAACAGAAAAAACAGCUAACAUGAUACAUAACAAAACUAACUUACUACAAACUAAUAUAAAUUAAUAUUCUAAGGUUUGCUAGCUGCGUUGGCAAACUUGGCUAGCAAACUGGAAGAAGACAAGAAACAUGUGAUAACAACAGCUAACAUGCUAGCUAAAAAAUGCUGAUUUACAAAGAAAUGAAAACAGUCUUUUCUUUUGAUGCCUGGCUAAGUUGGACGGGGUGUGUUGUAACGGUCAGAUAAAGAGGAGUUUUGUUAGCAGGUAUUUGAAAGCCAGUGUUAAAGUUUAUAAAAGUGCUGAGCUAAAGAAAAGCUAGUUUCUUGGGAGCUGUGACUCUACAUACGGUGGUAGAGCAGUAUUAGUGUGUAACUUUGGCAGAUAGCCUUUUCAGACUGGCAGCUAACAGGUUCGCUAACGUAAAGAACAAAACUGUAAUUUCUUCAACAAAACGGUGGAUGAAUUGUGUUGUACAGUCACAAGAGAGAAUAUAUUUGUUUUUUUGCAGCAGGUAUUGAUUUUAAAUAAAUGUCAGAUUGAUUUGACGUCCUAACCCUCUCUGUAUUUAUUCAUACCUCUGCUACCUGCGCGCUGUUCGGCCGCCAAUUGUGUUGCCGUGUUUGAUUUACACUCACACUAUCACAUGUUCAAACACACACGCAGUGCUUUGUGGUUCAGCUCUUUGACUGUGUGUCCACGCAGUAUUUACUGUCUGAAUCAGAGUUGAUGAUGUUGAUGAUGGAGUGAGCAGAGGAAGAAGAGGAGGAGCUGCUGCGUUCACUUUGGUUUUCCUGAAGCCUCAGAUAACGAGAGGAAGAGCAGAGAGUCCCACGUUAAAGCCUCAGCAGCCUCUCUGGAGGAAAAGGUGAGAGAUUUAAUACCUUUAGAGAAACAGAUUGAUUUAGCUUUACGUCUCAACUGACCAGAUUUAUAUCAUGCAGCAGUUAUUGAUUCAAGA
Long non-coding RNA from Sparus aurata (gilthead seabream), 5450 nucleotides. NCBI's taxonomy places the organism in Eukaryota, Metazoa, Chordata, Actinopteri, Spariformes, Sparidae. The record is from Ensembl.